GGGAUUGUAUAAGUUUUUCUUCACUAAAAAAAACUUUCUUAAUGCUCAUCAAGGGCUUCUUUUUUUUCUUCUUCCUUAUUUAAAUUCAGCUUUUGAGCUUUCAUCCUCAACAAGCUCCACCUUAAAUUUCACUCUUUGACCGUCAUAAAGUGUCCUGAUUGAUCUAAGCCUAAAUUAGCUCAUUCAUUUCCCAAUUUUUUCCUCUUUCCCUGAUCAUUCAACAUUGAAAAAACCAUUGAAGGAUUUAAAAAACCCACCAAAAGCAUUCUGCUUCCUCUUCCUUCUUUGAAAAAACCAUUCUGCUUGUUUUUCCUUCUUUGAAAAAACCCACCAAAAGCAUUGAAGGAGUCGAACUUGACAACAAAUCGAAUACUCCUACACCCACCAAAAACUCACCAAACACUUGAAUGAUUGAAUCUGAACACUGCUGUGACAGGACAUCAAACAAUAAAAUUUCCUGAUGAGAUCCAAGAAUUAUGAUUAUUUUCAUGAAUUAGCUCAUUUUGGUGUUAAAAUCAGUGUAUUUAUUGUUUGGACCAGUAUGGUGUAAAACUUAGAACAAGAAGCCAGAGAUUGUUUUGUAGGUGAAUAUCCGAUUUUGUUGAAAUCGUUGAUGAAACCUAUGACUUGGUUCGUGGAAGUUGUACGUGUCUUAAAAUAUUCAAGAAGUUAGAUAAGUGCUUAGGAAGUUAAAAGUUGACAGACGGUCUACUGUUCCUAAAAUGAAUAAUCUAACAGAAGUUGAAGCUGAAGACAGUACACUGUUCCCACGUUGCAGGUCUGGAGAGAAACAUCGGCUGGAAAAUUGCGAAUUAAUUAUUUUCUGUUUUUAAGUUGAUGUAACGGUUAAAAAUUAAUUUAAUUGCUUAAUUAAUUAAUAAAUUGGUUGGCAAAACUAAUUUUAGGCUAUCUAAAAAUAGCCUAAGACUUUUUCUUUCUUAAGAUUAAGAUCUCCUAUUUUUUAGGAUCUUGUGUUUUUAACUCCUAUGCUAUUUUUAGCUUAAGGAAACUGAUUUUCUCUCUGAGCAAAUGACAGUCGGUCAUUUAUUUUUUGGCAUUUCCACUACCAUUUGUUUUGAGAACGUGGAUGAUAGUGGGAGGUGUGUCUGAGGUAACUGCUGGCUGUUCCCACUAUAAAUAGGAGGAACUUUGCUCAAACCGAUAUCUAUCCAAGAGUGUCCAUUUAAGGGAGAUCAUUUAAGAAAAAUAUUUUCUGUUUUUAAAUGCCAAUUAAUUUAUUAUAUUUUUCUUAAGUAAUUAUUUUAAUUUUUAAUCUUCUUAAGAAUUGGCCUUGUAAGGGUAAUUGAGUGUUUUGUUGUAACUAGACUUAAGGGAAGUCUAAGGGAAUAGAGAAGCUUCAAGAGAAGCGUGAGAAGAGAAA
Molecule: long non-coding RNA, 1381 nt
Organism: Amaranthus tricolor (Joseph's coat)
Lineage: Eukaryota; Viridiplantae; Streptophyta; Magnoliopsida; Caryophyllales; Amaranthaceae
Exons: 2
Source: RefSeq, a predicted model, not a curated record